ACGGCCCUACCAUGCUGAAUAUACCGGUUCUCGUUAGAUCACCGAAGUCAAGCAUCAUUGGGCGCGGCCCUUGGGUGGGAGACCACCUGGGGACACCGCGUGCCGUU
Molecule: ribosomal RNA, 107 nt
Filed under: Caerostris darwini
Lineage: Eukaryota; Metazoa; Arthropoda; Arachnida; Araneae; Araneidae
Source: RNAcentral